UGGCAACAAGGCUAACAAGGAGGAGGUCCUAAAAUGCCUCAUUAGUGCUGUGCACAGCUUCAAACGAUGUCCCCUGCUAGCUGCCUGUGACCCUGCAUUAUCACUUCAAAUUUGAUGUUUCAGAUAAGAAUCCUGAGUGCUGGCUGGAUGUUACCACUUGAAGUACUCCUUUGUCAUUUCUCCCUUGUAGAUUCUUUACCAGCCCCACUCCAAGGAUUGAAAACCCCUAGUGAGGAGCACAUUUGAAGGCACUUCCCUGUAUGUGACAGCUGUCAGCAGAUUGAUCAGCUAAGAGCACAAGGAGAACUACUCCGAUGAUGCUUGCAUUCCAGAGUCUGUGACCAAGUUUCUGCAUUCUUUCUAACUUGUGGUGUACUUGACAACAUGUAUUUCU
Pogona vitticeps (central bearded dragon) is the source of this 394-nucleotide non-coding RNA. Lineage: Eukaryota; Metazoa; Chordata; Lepidosauria; Squamata; Agamidae. The record is from RefSeq and is a predicted model, not a curated record.